Molecule: long non-coding RNA, 1269 nt
Organism: Pan troglodytes (chimpanzee)
Lineage: Eukaryota; Metazoa; Chordata; Mammalia; Primates; Hominidae
Exons: 2
Source: RefSeq, a predicted model, not a curated record
CUGAGGGAUGCGUGGGCACCUUUCCCUUGUGCCGUCCAGGAAGGGCUAAUGAUUGGAAGGAAAACGUCAGCCCUUCUCAAGCAGCAAAAUAACAGCACCUUCUGUUUCCCCUGAAUCCACAUGAGUGUGGUGCUGUGGAAGAGGUCGCUGGCUGGUGUUGAGGGUGCCUCCGUGCCAGGGAGCACUCAAAGCUACAGACAUUCACCUGUGAAUGGUCAUGGACCUGACCGGCUGUUUUCUCUGCAUUUCUCCCCUGGCUAAAGAUGCGUGGCUGGGUAAAGUGAUUCUCAGACUUGACCUCUUGCUGCCCUGCUCCCACCCUGGAAUGGAGCAGGUGCCAGAUGGACACGGCUGCAGGUGCUGUGGGAGGUGAGUCGUGCAGCCACAGGGGAAAACGUUUCAGGAUCCAGUGUCCGUCCUUCAAAGUUGCUUCUAACAAGGAAACCGCUGCCUAAUCACCGGUACCUGUCAAAUUGGAAUCUCAGAUGCGACUGCUGAACGAAUCUCGACUCCCGCUGGAAGGCUUGGUGCCUCAUUCCUUUGAAACAACAGGUCACUUCUCAACUAUGAUUUGGCUUUAACCUGAAAUGAUCUUUGUGCAUUGUGAAGACUUGCUUCCCGCCGGACUUCCAGCUCUGAUUUCCCCUCCGCAGAGCAGGGUUCAGCGCAUAGCCACUUUCUUCCCACACACACAAGAAAAUGAAACACACUUCUGCGCUCAGGAAAAGCACCCUUCCUGCCCUUGUGUGGACGAUUCGGGAGCAGAACCUAUUGUCUCGGUUUGCAAAGCACAAAGGAGGUCACCGAUGGAUCGCAUCAGGGUGGAGGUGUGCCCCAGAUGAGGUCAGAAUAUUUGCAGCAGAAGAAUGGCAGCUCUCCCUGGCCAGGAGCGGGCCUGCCGCUUCUGUGCUCCUGACUCCUCCCCACAUUCUUCUGGUCCGGUUCCCACAGACAGACAGGGCGCGGGAGGUCAGAGUGGACGGAACAAAGGGGACCCCCUGCGGCGAGGCCUUGCUGGGCUGUCAGCACCAGUAAUUCAUGAGCGCACCUUUCAUCUCCAUGAGGAUCCGUGAGGGGUUAAACAGAGACCCAUUUUACAGCUGACAAGAUUGAAGGGGCUAAGGAGCGGGAGGGAGGCAAAACACCCUCAAAUUUAUAGUAUUCCAACCACCUGCUAAAAAUAGAUCCGUGCAGGUUCUCCUUUCAUUUCUCCCCACAUAAUGGGAUCUGUGUUUCAGAGGCAGCAUAAUAAACAGGCAAUGCACGGUC